AGCGAACGCUGGCGGCAGGCUUAACACAUGCAAGUCGAGCGGGCACUUUCGGGUGUCAGCGGCGGACGGGUGAGUAACGCGUGGGAACGUGCCCUCUGGUUCGGAAUAACUCAGGGAAACUUGAGCUAAUACCGGAUACGCCCUUUUGGGGAAAGGCUUGCUGCCGGAGGAUCGGCCCGCGUCUGAUUAGCUAGUUGGUGAGGUAACGGCUCACCAAGGCGACGAUCAGUAGCUGGUCUGAGAGGAUGAUCAGCCACACUGGGACUGAGACACGGCCCAGACUCCUACGGGAGGCAGCAGUGGGGAAUAUUAGACAAUGGGCGCAAGCCUGAUCCAGCCAUGCCGCGUGAGUGAUGAAGGCCUUAGGGUUGUAAAGCUCUUUUAUCCGGGACGAUAAUGACGGUACCGGAGGAAUAAGCCCCGGCUAACUUCGUG
Molecule: ribosomal RNA, 435 nt
Filed under: uncultured bacterium
Lineage: Bacteria
Description: partial 16S ribosomal RNA
Rfam family: Bacterial small subunit ribosomal RNA
Source: RNAcentral